GCGAAUGGCUCAUUAAAUCAGCUAUGGUUUAUUGGAUCGUACCCGUUAAAUGGAUAACUGUAAUAACUCUAGAGCUAAUACAUGCCUCGAUGCCCUGACUCUGUCUGCUGUGCUAUGCUAUGCUAUGCCAAGCCGAGAGGGAAUGGGUGCACUUAUUAGAUCAGAAGCCAACCAACGAUGCGUGUGCGGCUACAAGGUCGUGGCGUGCGUUGUUGAGACACUUCUGGUGACUCUGGAUAAUUGUUACAGAUCGCAGUCGGCCUUGAGUCGGCGACGGGUCCUUCAAAUGUCUGCCCUAUCAACUUUCGAUGGUAGGUGACCUGCCUACCAUGGUGAUAACGGGUAACGGGGAAUCAGGGUUCGAUUCCGGAGAGGGAGCCUGAGAAACGGCUACCACUUCCAAGGGAGGCAGCAGGCGCGCAAAUUACCCACUCCCAGUACGGGGAGGUGGUGACGAAAAAUACCGAUGCGGGACUCCUCAAAGAGGCUCCGUAAUCGGAAUGAGUGGACUCUAAAUCCUUUCACGAGGAUCCAUUGGAGGGCAAGUCUGGUGCCAGCAGCCGCGGUAACUCCAGCUCCAAUAGCGUAUAUUAAAGUUGCUGCAGUUAAAAAGCUCGUAGUUGGAUCUCGGUAGCACUGUUGCCCGUCGGUAUUUGAGCGGCUGGUGUGUGGCAGAUAACGCGCGGCCUCAGCUUCUGACGGUCUGCUAGCGGGUGCGUCGACGGUCGGGUGGUCUGCUUGGUCGGUGUAUUGACCUAUUCAUGGGUCGGUCGCUGGUCGGUCGGUCGGUCGGUCGCGUGCUCCUCUCCUCGCUGACUCAAUCGCUCACUCACUUACUCACUCACUCAUUCGUUGGUUUGCUCGGUCGCCCAUGCGACACCGGCUGUCUGCUGGCUGUCUACCGGCUGGCUGGCUGGCUGGCUGGUCGUGCUGGUGCAUGGCUGGGUAGAUAAGUGGGUGGUGGUUGUUUGGAUGGUGGGUUGGGUGUGCGUGGACGUGAACGGCUCAUCCGUUCGUUGAUGUGUCUGUUGCAGCGCAGGGCGGGGCUGGGUUGUUGUGGCCAUUGAAUAACGCUGUCGUGUCAAGCCGACAAGGCGGUGGUGUCACCUUUGAGCCAUGUCUGUGGUGUAGCAGCCGCAGGUGUGGGCGGGUGUUGGACAGUGCUCCGCACACGCUGUGGGGCCUGUCGACUCGUCUGCAUGCCUUUGGAUGCCCUUCAAAAGGUGUCCGUGGGCGGAUGGCACGUUUACUUUGAACAAAUUUGAGUGCUCAAAUCAGGCCGAUGUUGCCUGAAAAGUUUUGCAUGGAAUAAUGGAAUAGGACUUCGGCUCUAUUUCGUUGGUUUUCGGAUCCGAAGUAAUGAUCAAAAGAGACGGGCGGGGACGUUUGUAUGGCUGCGCUAGAGGUGAAAUUCAUGGACCGUAGCCAGACAGACUAAAGCGAAAGCAUUCGUCAAGCAUGUUUUCAUUGGCCAUGAGCGAAAGUCAGAGGCUCGAAGACGAUCAGAUACCGUCCUAGUUCUGACCAUAAACGAUGCCAACUGACGAUCCGUGGUGGUAGUAGUGUUACCUUCCCCACGGGCAGUCCCCGGGAAACCUUUAAGUGUUUGGGUUCCGGGGGAAGUAUGGUUGCAAAGCUGAAACUUAAAGGAAUUGACGGAAGGGCACCACCAGGAGUGGAGCCUGCGGCUUAAUUUGACUCAACACGGGAAAACUCACCCGGGCCGGACACUGUGAGGAUUGACAGAUUGAGAGUUCUUUCUUGAUUUGGUGGUUGGUGGUGCAUGGCCGUUCUUAGUUGGUGGAGCGAUUUGUCUGGUUAAUUCCGAUAACGAACGAGACUCCAGCCUGCUAAUUAGUGCGUUUGUCCACUGCGCCUGCGUAGGUGACGCUGGAUGGCACCACCUGCCACGAGGACGUGGCAGCGGCUCUUCUCUCCGCUUCUCCGCUCGAGUGCUCUCCAGCGCCUCCUCCUCCUGCUUCUCCUCCUCCUCCUUCUUCAGCGCCUCAUCUGGCUGGCUGGCUGGCUGGCCGGGUGAGGUGGCGGUGGUGGUGGUAGCGGUGGGGUGGGGAUGGUGCGGGUGGGCGAGUGGAUUGUGGUGGAGGUGUGGGGUUGGGUGCGGCGCUCGUGGCCGGUUAGUCUGGCGUUGGCCUCCGGGUGUGGCGCGAAUGCCUACUUCUUAGAGGGACAAGCGGGAGAAGCCGCACGAAAUAGAGCAAUAACAGGUCUGUGAUGCCCUUAGAUGUCCGGGGCCGCACGCGCGCUACAAUGACGGUGUCAACGAGUUAGACCUUCUGGCCCGAAAGGGUUGGGCAAACUGGUCAAUCACCGUCAUGACAGGGAUCGGGGCUUGGAAUUGUUCCCCGUGAACGAGGAAUUCCUAGUAAGUGCAAGUCAUAAGCUUGCGCUGAUUACGUCCCUGCCCUUUGUACACACCGCCCGUCGCUACUACCGAUUGAAUGGUUUAGUAAGGUCCUUGGAUUGGCGUCAUUGUGGUGGCCGCCGAGAGGCGACUGCCCGUCAGGCGCUAAGAAGACGACCGAAA
RNAcentral lists this ribosomal RNA (2545 nucleotides) under Raillietina tetragona. RNAcentral describes it as "SSU rRNA". It matches the Rfam family "Eukaryotic small subunit ribosomal RNA". The record is from RNAcentral. Lineage: Eukaryota; Metazoa; Platyhelminthes; Cestoda; Cyclophyllidea; Davaineidae.